RNAcentral lists this transfer RNA (74 nucleotides) under Camelus bactrianus (Bactrian camel). It matches the Rfam family "tRNA". From Rfam's summary of the family: Transfer RNA (tRNA) molecules are approximately 80 nucleotides in length. Their secondary structure includes four short double-helical elements and three loops (D, anti-codon, and T loops). RNAcentral also lists the same sequence under 3 other names. The record is from Rfam by way of RNAcentral. Lineage: Eukaryota; Metazoa; Chordata; Mammalia; Artiodactyla; Camelidae.
GAGGGUAUAGCUCACAGUGGUAGAGUGCAUGCUUAGCAUGCAUGAGGUCCUGGGUUCAAUCCCCAGUACCUCCU